CCUCCUUUCUAGGGAGUAAUUCCGACCUAGUGUCGGAAUACGGUCGAACCUCAAUGUUUCGGUAACUUACGCACACGUUCUCAUAUUUUGGGGUUUGUAGCUCAGUUGGUUAGAGCACCGCUCUGAUAAGGCGGGGGUCGGUAGUUCGAGUCUACCCAGACCCACUUUGAGAGUCAUGUGUUAUUUCAGACUCUGCCAAUUCAGGGGCUGUAGCUCAGCUGGGAGAGCAUCGCGUUUGCAACGCGAGGGUCGCAGGUUCGAUUCCUGUCAGCUCCACAAUAUUUCGAAGGGUAGUCCGGCGGUUUCCGGAUUAGUUCAACAAAAAAUUAUCUUCCAUCUUCCGAUGGAAUAUCUUAAUAAAUUUGAAAUCCAUCUUUUGGAUGGAUUUCAAGAAUCUUUACUCAAGAAGUAAAGAAUCUGUUUUUUGAAAUUGUGAA
RNAcentral lists this transfer RNA (437 nucleotides) under uncultured Gammaproteobacteria bacterium. Its description in RNAcentral is "partial 16S-23S ribosomal RNA intergenic spacer". The stretch from base 91 to 164 matches the Rfam family "tRNA". Lineage: Bacteria; Pseudomonadati; Pseudomonadota; Gammaproteobacteria. The record is from RNAcentral.